CACGCCACGGUAAUACGGAGGGGGCUAGCGUUGUUCGGAAUUACUGGGCGUAAAGCGUGCGUAGGCGGUUUGUUAAGUCUGUUGUGAAAUCCCCGGGCUCAACCUGGGAAUGGCAAUGGAUACUGGCAAGCUAGAGUGUGUCAGAGGAUGGUGGAAUUCCCGGUGUAGCGGUGAAAUGCGUAGAGAUCGGGAGGAACAUCAGUGGCGAAGGCGGCCAUCUGGGACAACACUGACGCUGAGGCACGAAAGCGUGGGGAGCAAACAGGAUUAGAUACCCCGGUAGUCCCUGUCUCUUAUACAA
This 301-nucleotide ribosomal RNA is filed under the name uncultured bacterium. RNAcentral's name for it is "partial 16S ribosomal RNA". It matches the Rfam family "Bacterial small subunit ribosomal RNA", at positions 509 to 809 of the family's 1533-position model. The record is from RNAcentral.